AAUGGAUCGCCGCCGCCGCGGCCUACCCUUCGCGCCGGCCGGGAAGGCCACUUCCAUGUCGCAGAUCCAUGCCACGCAUUGGAAGGAUGCGCACCUGGUCCUCCUCACGCGCAUCAUCCUCCAUUGACGCAGCCGCCACCGGAUCUCCACCUUCCCCCACCGACGUCCCUCCCUCAGCGCCCCACCGGCGACCUCCCCGGAUCAACUGCACAACCAGCGCCCCUCCCCGGUAAGCACGUACAACCAGUGCCCCUCCCCAUGUCCCUGCACCACCGGCCGCUUCCUCCACCAUGGCCCAACGCCAGCUCCUGCUCGGUCGCCGCAAGAUUGGGCGCUCCUUGAUCCACAGGCCUUACUUCGUGCCGGCUGCUGUCGUACUUUUAUCUCAACAACCUUCAGCACAAAAUGCCGAAGCUCCUCAUCAAGCCCCUCUACAUCAAUGGCAACUGCAAGGUCAAGGAGAGAGGCCUCAAGAUGUAGAAUGGUCAUUCCUGGAAUGAUGAAGAUGUCAGCAAUUUUAAAUGAGACAACAAGUUUGGAAGCCUUAAACACCCCAUGUCCCAGCCACAGGGGUAACCAAUCAUCGCCUACUGCUGCACUAAGUUGUUGGUGAGGACAUCCAGGGGAACGGAGAUGCUCAAGAAUGUGUCCGAGUUCGAG
Non-coding RNA from Lolium perenne, 660 nucleotides. Lineage: Eukaryota; Viridiplantae; Streptophyta; Magnoliopsida; Poales; Poaceae. The record is from RefSeq and is a predicted model, not a curated record.